Molecule: ribosomal RNA, 253 nt
Filed under: uncultured bacterium
Lineage: Bacteria
Description: partial 16S ribosomal RNA
Rfam family: Bacterial small subunit ribosomal RNA
Source: RNAcentral
UACGUAGGUGGCAAGCGUUGUCCGGAAUUAUUGGGCGUAAAGCGCGCGCAGGCGGUCCUUUAAGUCUGAUGUGAAAGCCCACGGCUCAACCGUGGAGGGUCAUUGGAAACUGGGGGACUUGAGUGCAGAAGAGGAAAGUGGAAUUCCCGGUGUAGUGGUGAUAUGCGUAGAUAUCGGGAGGAACACCUGUGGCGAAGGCGGCUUUCUGGGCCUUACCUGACGCUGAGACGCGAAAGCGUGGGGAGCGAACCGG